This 358-nucleotide ribosomal RNA is filed under the name uncultured Pseudomonadota bacterium. RNAcentral's name for it is "bacterial SSU rRNA". It matches the Rfam family "Bacterial small subunit ribosomal RNA", at positions 104 to 496 of the family's 1533-position model. Lineage: Bacteria; Pseudomonadati; Pseudomonadota. The record is from RNAcentral.
GGGUGAGUAACGCGUGGGAACCUGCCCAGUAGUAGAGAAUAACUUGGGGAAACUUAAGCUAAUACUUUAUACGUCCUUCGGGAGAAAGCUUUAUGCGCUAUUGGAUGGGCCCGCGUUAGAUUAGUUUGUUGGUGAGGUAACGGCUCACCAAGGCGACGAUCUAUAGCUGGUCUGAGAGGAUGAUCAGCCACACUGGGACUGAGACACGGCCCAGACUCCUACGGGAGGCAGCAGUGGGGAAUAUUGGACAAUGGGGGCAACCCUGAUCCAGCGAUGCCGCGUGAGUGAUGAAGGCCCUAGGGUUGUAAAACUCUUUCGUCAGGGAAGAUAAUGACGGUACCUGAAGAAGAAGAUCCGG